GAUGAACGCUGGCGGCGUGCCUAAUACAUGCAAGUCGAGCGAACAGACGAGGAGCUUGCUCCUCUGACGUUAGCGGCGGACGGGUGAGUAACACGUGGAUAACCUACCUAUAAGACUGGGAUAACUUCGGGAAACCGGAGCUAAUACCGGAUAAUAUAUUGAACCGCAUGGUUCAAUAGUGAAAGACGGUUUUGCUGUCACUUAUAGAUGGAUCCGCGCCGCAUUAGCUAGUUGGUAAGGUAACGGCUUACCAAGGCAACGAUGCGUAGCCGACCUGAGAGGGUGAUCGGCCACACUGGAACUGAGACACGGUCCAGACUCCUACGGGAGGCAGCAGUAGGGAAUCUUCCGCAAUGGGCGAGAGCUUGACGGAGCAACGCCGCGUGAGUGAUGAAGGUCUUCGGAUCGUAAAACUCUGUUAUUAGGGAAGAACAAAUGUGUAAGUAACUAUGCACGUCUUGACGGUACCUAAUCAGAAAGCCACGGCUAACUACGUG
RNAcentral lists this ribosomal RNA (497 nucleotides) under uncultured bacterium. RNAcentral's name for it is "partial 16S ribosomal RNA". It matches the Rfam family "Bacterial small subunit ribosomal RNA", at positions 28 to 507 of the family's 1533-position model. The record is from RNAcentral.